Molecule: ribosomal RNA, 47 nt
Filed under: uncultured fungus
Lineage: Eukaryota; Fungi
Description: partial 18S ribosomal RNA
Rfam family: Eukaryotic small subunit ribosomal RNA
Source: RNAcentral
AAGUCUGUAACAAGGUUUCCGUAGGUGAACCUGCGGAAGGAUCAUUA